UGUCUCCUCUACUUCCUCACAGGAAUUAGAUUCAGCCCGCUUCCGUAGCGGGCUUUUUUUU
Janthinobacterium sp. KBS0711 is the source of this 61-nucleotide small RNA. It matches the Rfam family "Betaproteobacteria toxic small RNA". Rfam says of the family: Overexpression in amino aid rich medium attenuates growth, suggesting role in repressing amino acid intake and metabolism. The record is from Rfam. Lineage: Bacteria; Pseudomonadati; Pseudomonadota; Betaproteobacteria; Burkholderiales; Oxalobacteraceae.